This 68-nucleotide transfer RNA is filed under the name Marmota monax (woodchuck). RNAcentral describes it as "tRNA.Gly". The record is from RNAcentral. Lineage: Eukaryota; Metazoa; Chordata; Mammalia; Rodentia; Sciuridae.
GUGGUGGCUCAGAGGUAGAGCGUCUGCCUGCCCUGCGAGAGGCACUGGGUUCCAUCCUCAGCACCACA